UACGUAGGGACCAAGCGUUGUUCGGAUUUACUGGGCGUAAAGGGCGCGUAGGCGGCAUGACAAGUCACUUGUGAAAUCUCCGGGCUUAACUCGGAACGGUCAAGUGAUACUGUCGCGCUAGAGUGCGGAAGGGGCAAUCAGAAUUCUUGGUGUAGCGGUGAAAUGCGUAGAUAUCAAGAGGAACACCUGAGGUGAAGACGGGUUGCUGGGCCAACACUGACGCUGAUGCGCGAAAGCCAGGGGAGCAAACGGG
This 253-nucleotide ribosomal RNA is filed under the name uncultured bacterium. RNAcentral's name for it is "partial 16S ribosomal RNA". It matches the Rfam family "Bacterial small subunit ribosomal RNA", at positions 524 to 776 of the family's 1533-position model. The record is from RNAcentral.